This 253-nucleotide ribosomal RNA is filed under the name uncultured bacterium. RNAcentral's name for it is "partial 16S ribosomal RNA". It matches the Rfam family "Bacterial small subunit ribosomal RNA", at positions 524 to 776 of the family's 1533-position model. The record is from RNAcentral.
UACGUAGGUGGCAAGCGUUGUCCGGAUUUACUGGGCGUAAAGAGCGCGCAGGCGGUCGAUCAAGUCGCGUGUGAAAUCUCCCGGCUCAACUGGGAGGGUGCGCCGAAUACUGAGGGACUAGAGUACGGGAGAGGAAAGUGGAAUUCCUGGUGUAGCGGUGAAAUGCGUAGAUAUCAGGAGGAACACCGGUGGUGUAGACGGCUUUCUGGACCGUAACUGACGCUGAAACACGAAAGCGUGGGUAGCAAACAGG